RNAcentral lists this non-coding RNA (30 nucleotides) under Homo sapiens (human). Lineage: Eukaryota; Metazoa; Chordata; Mammalia; Primates; Hominidae. The record is from RNAcentral.
GCCGGGUGCUGCCCUAACUCCUUCCACACC